UCUAAUGUAUCAGAACUCAUCAUCCAACAAACCAUAUUUUGAAAACGACAUCACAGCUUAGAUUUACAUCGUCUAUUAUUUCUUCAAGAGCUACCUCUCCUAAGGUUAAUUACUUCCUACAUGUUGAAAAAUGACUUUCUAUUGUGAACUUCUGUAGAAUCCUUACCAGAUAAAAUGGUAAUGCAAAAGCUUUGUGGACAUUUCAGGAUCUCUGGUGACAGACCUGUGGGACGGGUCAAGAGGUCAUCCAGGAGCACCUUCCUAAAGCACAUGGGCUGUUGGCAACUUGUCACACAUUGGCAACUUCCGUUUGGCCAUGGUGACUUUGUCAAAAAUGGAAUCAUCUCGUCAAGUUACAAAAGAAAAUUAGUAUCUGUGAUCAGAGCAGAACUCCAUCUUUAAAAAAGUUUUCUCAGCUGAAGGAAGAAAGGGAAGGAGGAGUACAAGGCUUUGCAGGAAGAAAAAGCAUGUACCUCA
Psammomys obesus (fat sand rat) is the source of this 477-nucleotide long non-coding RNA. RefSeq lists it as uncharacterized. The transcript has 4 exons. The record is from RefSeq and is a predicted model, not a curated record. Lineage: Eukaryota; Metazoa; Chordata; Mammalia; Rodentia; Muridae.